This 144-nucleotide ribosomal RNA is filed under the name uncultured eukaryote. Its description in RNAcentral is "partial 18S ribosomal RNA". It matches the Rfam family "Eukaryotic small subunit ribosomal RNA", at positions 1299 to 1458 of the family's 1831-position model. The record is from RNAcentral.
UGGUGGAGUGAUUUGUCUGGUUAAUUCCGUUAACGAACGAGACUCUAGCCUGCUAAAUAGACGGGCGAUCCCUUUGUGAGUCGACCCGAUUGCUUCUUAGAGGGACAAGUGGCGUUCCCAGCCACGCGAAAUUGAGCAAUAACA